GUGUUCACUUCGGUAGCACACAUACUGAAGUUGGAACCAUACAGAGAAAAAUUAGCAUGGCCUCUGCCCAAGGAUGGCACACAAAUUCAUGAAGUGUUCCAUAUUUUA
Molecule: small nuclear RNA, 108 nt
Organism: Jaculus jaculus (lesser Egyptian jerboa)
Lineage: Eukaryota; Metazoa; Chordata; Mammalia; Rodentia; Dipodidae
Source: Ensembl